Molecule: ribosomal RNA, 495 nt
Filed under: uncultured bacterium
Lineage: Bacteria
Description: partial 16S ribosomal RNA
Rfam family: Bacterial small subunit ribosomal RNA
Source: RNAcentral
GAUGAACGCUGGCGGCGUGCCUAAUACAUGCAAGUCGAGCGAACGGACGAGAAGCUUGCUUCUCUGAUGUUAGCGGCGGACGGGUGAGUAACACGUGGAUAACCUACCUAUAAGACUGGGAUAACUUCGGGAAACCGGAGCUAAUACCGGAUAAUAUUUUGAACCGCAUGGUUCAAAAGUGAAAGACGGUCUUGCUGUCACUUAUAGAUGGAUCCGCGCUGCAUUAGCUAGUUGGUAAGGUAACGGCUUACCAAGGCAACGAUGCAUAGCCGACCUGAGAGGGUGAUCGGCCUCACUGGAACUGAGACACGGUCCAGACUCCUACGGGAGGCAGCAGUAGGGAAUCUUCCGCAAUGGGCGAAAGCCUGACGGAGCAACGCCGCGUGAGUGAUGAAGGUCUUCGGAUCGUAAAACUCUGUUAUUAGGGAAGAACAUAUGUGUAAGUAACUGUGCACAUCUUGACGGUACCUAAUCAGAAAGCCACGGCUAACUACG